Picea glauca (white spruce) is the source of this 123-nucleotide non-coding RNA. The record is from Rfam. Lineage: Eukaryota; Viridiplantae; Streptophyta; Pinopsida; Pinales; Pinaceae.
AUGUACAUUCCUACGACGUAAUGUUAAUGCAUUGAAUCCCAUUAGAACUCCACAAUUAAGCAUGCUCAGGAUAGAGUAGUACUGGGAUGGGUGAUCAUCAGGGAAAUCCCAGUGUUUUACAUG